RNAcentral lists this ribosomal RNA (254 nucleotides) under uncultured bacterium. RNAcentral describes it as "partial 16S ribosomal RNA". It matches the Rfam family "Bacterial small subunit ribosomal RNA", at positions 524 to 776 of the family's 1533-position model. The record is from RNAcentral.
GACGAACCGUGCGAACGUUAUUCGGAAUCACUGGGCUUAAAGCGCGUGUAGGCGGAUGGGUGCGUCGGCUUCUGAAAGCCCCCGGCUCAACCGGGGAAGUGGGGCCGAAACGACCCGUCUGGAGGGACGUAGGGGGAUCUGGAACUUCCGGUGGAGCGGUGAAAUGCGUUGAGAUCGGAAGGAACGCCCGUGGCGAAAGCGGGGUCCUGGACGUCUUCUGACGCUGAGACGCGAAAGCCAGGGGAGCGAACGGG